RNAcentral lists this long non-coding RNA (221 nucleotides) under Lathyrus oleraceus (garden pea). Its description in RNAcentral is "Pisum sativum (pea) long non-coding RNA (PSAT_LNC024481)". Lineage: Eukaryota; Viridiplantae; Streptophyta; Magnoliopsida; Fabales; Fabaceae. The record is from RNAcentral.
UUCAUUGUAAGAGAGGAAUCGAGGUUCAUCCUGCAAAAAAAAAAAAAUGCCUGAACCGAGGAUAAAGAAAAGAGGUUCGUGGUUUCUUCGAAAGAUUGAACUAUCUGUCAUGGUUCACAUCUCAUCUAACAGCCACGUGUGAACCUAUAUUCAAGAUGUUGAAAAAAAAAAGAUCAAACGGUCAGGUGAAAUAAUGAUUGCCAAGGGGCAGUGAAAAAUAA